RNAcentral lists this transfer RNA (72 nucleotides) under Phrynosoma platyrhinos (Desert horned lizard). RNAcentral's name for it is "tRNA-OTHER". Lineage: Eukaryota; Metazoa; Chordata; Lepidosauria; Squamata; Phrynosomatidae. The record is from RNAcentral.
GCCAACGUGGCAUAGUGGUUUGAGUGUUGGACAAUGACUCUGGAGACUAGGGUUCGAUUCUCAGCUCAGUCA